GAGGGUAUAGCUCGAGAGGUAGAGCACAUGCUUAGCAUGCAUGAGGUCCGGGGUUCAGUCCCCAGUACUUCCU
This 73-nucleotide transfer RNA is filed under the name Camelus bactrianus (Bactrian camel). It matches the Rfam family "tRNA". Rfam says of the family: Transfer RNA (tRNA) molecules are approximately 80 nucleotides in length. Their secondary structure includes four short double-helical elements and three loops (D, anti-codon, and T loops). Lineage: Eukaryota; Metazoa; Chordata; Mammalia; Artiodactyla; Camelidae. RNAcentral also lists the same sequence under 2 other names. The record is from Rfam by way of RNAcentral.